AGCGAACGCUGGCGGCAGGCCUAACACAUGCAAGUCGAACGAACUCUUCGGAGUUAGUGGCGGACUGGUGAGUAACACGUUGGAACGUGCCUUUUGGUUCGGCAUAACUCAGGGAAACUUGUGCUAAUACCGAAUGUGCCCUUCGGGGGAAAGAUUUAUCGCCAUUAGAGCGGCCCGCGUCUGAUUAGCUAGUUGGUGAGGUAACGGCUCACCAAGGCGACGAUCAGUAGCUGGUCUGAGAGGAUGACCAGCCACACUGGGACUGAGACACGGCCCAGACUCCUACGGGAAGCAGCAGUGGGGAAUCUUGCGCAAUGGGCGAAAGGCUGACGCAGCCAUGCCGCGUGAAUGAUGAAGGUCUUAGGAUUGUAAAAUUCUUUCACAGGGGACGAUAAUGACGGUACCAGGAGAAGAAGCCCCGGCUAACUUCGUG
This 433-nucleotide ribosomal RNA is filed under the name uncultured bacterium. Its description in RNAcentral is "partial 16S ribosomal RNA". It matches the Rfam family "Bacterial small subunit ribosomal RNA", at positions 29 to 507 of the family's 1533-position model. The record is from RNAcentral.